CCUACUGGUGACAUCAGUGAGGAGUAUCGGUCAAUGGGCGUAAGCCUGAACCAUCCCCUUCCCUUUCUGUCUUCCUUUUCUCUUUCUCUUCCCCCUCUUUUCUCCUUUAAUAAAGUGCGGGAUGUGUCCCGUUUUGUAUGUACCUUAUGAAUAAGGAUCGGCUAACUCCGUGCCAGCAGCCGCGGUAAUACGGAGGAUCCGAGCGUUAUCCGGAUUUAUUGGGUUUAAAGGGUGCGUAGGCGGCCUUUUAAGUCAGCGGUGAAAGUCUGUGGCUCAACCAUAGAAUUGCCGUUGAAACUGGGAGGCUUGAGUAUGUUUGAGGCAGGCGGAAUGCGUGGUGUAGCGGUGAAAUGCUUAGAUAUCACGCAGAACCCCGAUUGCGAAGGCAGCCUGCCAAGCCAUGACUGACGCUGAUGCACGAAAGCGUGGGGAUCAAACAGGAUUAGAUACCCGAGUAGUC
Molecule: ribosomal RNA, 460 nt
Filed under: uncultured bacterium
Lineage: Bacteria
Description: partial 16S ribosomal RNA
Rfam family: Bacterial small subunit ribosomal RNA
Source: RNAcentral